RNAcentral lists this transfer RNA (72 nucleotides) under Verrucomicrobiota bacterium. Its description in RNAcentral is "tRNA-Thr". It matches the Rfam family "tRNA". From Rfam's summary of the family: Transfer RNA (tRNA) molecules are approximately 80 nucleotides in length. Their secondary structure includes four short double-helical elements and three loops (D, anti-codon, and T loops). The record is from RNAcentral. Lineage: Bacteria; Pseudomonadati; Verrucomicrobiota. RNAcentral also lists the same sequence under 1 other name.
GCCGGUUUAGCUCAGUGGUAGAGCAGCGGUUUUGUAAACCGUUGGUCAUCAGUUCGAAUCUGAUAACCGGCU